AUGAAAUUGUGUGGCGUAGAGGCAAUGCUUUGUGCCUUCAAGCAAAUCACCUCAUGUCAGCUCAGGGACUGUGCCUGGAACACGUUAUUUGGAAUCAUUCUGUUUGUGUACUCGAACAUCAAACUGACAUUAGGAGCAUCUGUUGUCUUGCAAUGCAAUGGGACGAGACAGAACGAUGGACAGUUCCUCUUUGUCAUUUUGUAUAACAUUAAAGAGUACUUCAGUGACUGCGAGAAACAAUGGCUUGUCAAUGGAACUCUGACAGGUCUUUUUGAGGAAGGAAAUCCAUCUUUCAUCUCUCCUAUUACAAACCUGACCGCAAGCACUGCCACUCUGCAGGCCUGUCCUGAAAAUCUUGAGUGUCUGCUCUCCUGCCCCACUGGCAAAGUAAGUGUGAAAUUGUUUGUGAUAAAUGUUUUAUUGCUUUUAUGUUCUGCUAGGCCAUCAAAUGAAAUGUCAUUGAUAUUUAGUAGCAUAACUGAACUGACAUUGCUUUGCUUUAUGCUUAUUUUUAUUUAUUUUGCAGAUCAAUGAAAAGCAACUGUGCUCUUGUAAGUAACUGAUUUAUACUAUUUUCUAAACAUGACUGCAGAUCUUGACAGAUACUUCUUAUUCUAAGAAUUUUCUGUCUGAAUACAAGAAAAGACGUGUUCCUGUACAGUAGUUUAAAAAGAAGAGUAGGGUGCUAGUGAGAGAAAUGACCAUCUGGCUUUUGUUGUGGCCAGAUGUAGUGAAUGUGUAAAGGAAGUUAUGAGUAAGUGAAAGCAGCAUAUUGAACAGUAUGACUAAGCUCUUUGUAGAUUUGUCUUUCUGCCAAAUUUACACUACAGACUAAACAUAGAUGUUAGUUCUCAUGAUGUGAACUGUAAUAAAUGAGUAUUUAUUAAUUCUGUACA
Cyprinus carpio (common carp) is the source of this 896-nucleotide long non-coding RNA. Lineage: Eukaryota; Metazoa; Chordata; Actinopteri; Cypriniformes; Cyprinidae. The record is from Ensembl.